UACGGAGGGGGCUAGCGUUAUUCGGAAUUACUGGGCGUAAAGCGCACGUAGGCGGACUGACAAGUCAGAGGUGAAAUCCCAGGGCUCAACCUUGGAACUGCCUUUGAAACUGUUAGUCUUGAGGUCGUGAGAGGUGAGUGGAAUUCCGAGUGUAGAGGUGAAAUUCGUAGAUAUUCGGAGGAACACCAGUGGCGAAGGCGGCUCACUGGCACGAUACUGACGCUGAGGUGCGAAAGCGUGGGGAGCAAACAGG
RNAcentral lists this ribosomal RNA (253 nucleotides) under uncultured bacterium. RNAcentral describes it as "partial 16S ribosomal RNA". It matches the Rfam family "Bacterial small subunit ribosomal RNA", at positions 524 to 776 of the family's 1533-position model. The record is from RNAcentral.